CUACGGGCCGCUGCAGUAGGGAAUAUUGGACAAUGGGCGAAAGCCUGAUCCAGCAACACCGCGUGCACGAUGACGGCCUUCGGGUUGUAAAGUGCUUUUAGAGGAGAUGAGAAAGGACAGUAUCCUCUGAAUAAGCCUCGGCGAACUACGUGCCAGCAGCCGCGGUAAAACGUAGUAGGCAAGCGUUAUCCGGAUUUAUUGGGCGUAAAGCGCGUGCAGGCGGUCUAGCAAGUUGGAUGUGAAAGCUCCCGGCUCAACUGGGAGAGGUCGUUCAAUACUGUUAGACUAGAGAAUAGGAGAGGGAGGUGGAAUUCCGGGUGUAGUGGUGAAAUGCGUAGAUAUCCGGAGGAACACCAGUGGCGAAAGCGGCCUCCUGGACUAUUUCUGACGCUAAGACGCGAAAGCUAGGGUAGCAAACGGGAUUAGAUACCCGGGUAGUC
Molecule: ribosomal RNA, 440 nt
Filed under: uncultured bacterium
Lineage: Bacteria
Description: partial 16S ribosomal RNA
Rfam family: Bacterial small subunit ribosomal RNA
Source: RNAcentral